AUUCUAGAGCUAAUACAUGCUGUUUAGCCUGACUUCUUGAAGGGCUGUAUUUAUUAGAUAACAGACCAAUAUUCCUCGUGUCUAUUGUGGUGAAUCAUAGUAACUAAUCGGAUCGCAUGGGCUAGUCCCGCGACAAACCAUUCAAGUUUCUGCCCCAUCAGCUUUCGAUGGUAGUGUAUUGGACUACCAUGGCUUUUACGGGUAACGGAGGAUUAGGGUUCGAUUCCGGAGAGGGAGCCUGAGAAACGGCUACCACAUCUAAGGAAGGCAGCAGGCGCGUAAAUUACCCAAUUCUAAUUCAGAGAGGUAGUG
RNAcentral lists this ribosomal RNA (312 nucleotides) under uncultured Spirotrichea. RNAcentral's name for it is "SSU rRNA". It matches the Rfam family "Eukaryotic small subunit ribosomal RNA", at positions 155 to 469 of the family's 1831-position model. Lineage: Eukaryota; Ciliophora; Spirotrichea. The record is from RNAcentral.